GACGAACGCUGGCGGCGUGCCUAAUACAUGCAAGUCGGACGCUGAAGGAGGAGCUUGCUUCUCUGGAUGAGUUGCGAACGGGUGAGUAACGCGUAGGUAACCUGCCUGGUAGCGGGGGAUAACUAUUCGAAACGAUAGCUAAUACCGCAUAAUAGUAGAUGUUGCAUGACAUUUGCUUAAAAGGUGCAAUUGCAUCACUACCAGAUGGACCUGCGUUGUAUUAGCUAGUUGGUGGGGUAACGGCUCACCAAGGCGACGAUACAUAGCCGACCUGAGAGGGUGAUCGGCCACACUGGGACUGAGACACGGCCCAGACUCCUACGGGAGGCAGCAGUAGGGAAUCUUCGGCAAUGGACGGAAGUCUGACCGAGCAACGCCGCGUGAGUGAAGAAGGGUUUCGGAUCGUAAAGCUCUGUUGUAAGAGAAGAACGAGUGUGAGAGUGGAAAGUUCACACUGUGACGGUAGCUUACCAGAAAGGGACGGCUAACUACGUG
Molecule: ribosomal RNA, 495 nt
Filed under: uncultured bacterium
Lineage: Bacteria
Description: partial 16S ribosomal RNA
Rfam family: Bacterial small subunit ribosomal RNA
Source: RNAcentral